Non-coding RNA from Labrus bergylta (ballan wrasse), 354 nucleotides. The record is from RefSeq and is a predicted model, not a curated record. Lineage: Eukaryota; Metazoa; Chordata; Actinopteri; Labriformes; Labridae.
GUAAAAGCAACAUCCCAUGGCUCUCACAUGAUCCUGAAGUGACAUUCCAGAGGUGCAAGAGAAUGCAGAGCUGAUCCAGAAAGGCUUCAGAGGCCGGAGCUCAUCACUGCAGGUCUUCAGCUCUGAAUGUUAACGUCCUCAUAAUCUUCAAACAGACCCUCCAGUCCUCCCGGAGCCUAUAGCUUCAUCCCCUGAACACCUCAUUCCUCUUCAAACACUCCUGCGGCGGCACCAGAUCCUCCAGCUUCAGGUAGAAAAUCCUCUGCAGGCCCUGGAUGCACAGAGUGCGGAGCUCUCGCAGUUUUUCCAAAAUUCUGGACAAAGAGUUGGACCAACAGUCUGAGCCUCCGUCUC